GCCAAUCCUCCUCUUUUUGCUAAGGAAGACUGGCCCUGAGCUAACAUCCAUGCCCAUCUUCCUCUACUUUAUACGUGGGACGCCUACCACAGUGUGGCUAUUGCCAGCGGUGCCAUGUCCACACUCGGAAUCCAAACCGGUGAACCCAGGGCCACUGAGAAGUAGAACAUGCGAACUUAACUGCUGUGCCACCAGGCCGGCCCCAGAUUUUUUUUUUUAAUGGAGGUUUUUCUGAUUAAAAAAGUAAUGUAUGCUCAUUAUUUUAAAAAUCAAACAAUAUAGAAACAUUAAGAAAAUAUUAAGCUUCAAAAGACUGAUAGUAAAAGUCCCUCAUAAUCCCAGCUCCCCCUCCGCUAGAUACCUAUUACUAACAGUUUGGUAUAUAUCCUUCUAGACUUUCCCAUAAGUUUGCAAAUAUAUAUAUUGUACAUUUUUAAAAAUGAAAUUUCUGAGCCAGCCCUGAUGGCCUAGUGGCUAAAAUUUGGCGCUCUCAUGGCUUUGGUGGCCUGGAUUUGUUUCCUGGGCGCAGAACCACACCAUCUGUCUGUCAGUAGCCAUGCUGUGGCGGCAGCUCACAUAGAAGAACCAGAAGGACUUACAACUAGGAUAUACAGCCAUGCACUGGGGCUUUGGAAAGAAAAAAGAAAGGAAGAUUGGCAACAGAUGUUAGCUCAGGGCGAAUCUUUGUCUGCCAAAGAGAAAAGGAAAUUAAGUUUUUCUGCAAUUUGCUUUCUUCAAUUAACAAUCUUGGACAACUUUUCAUACCCUUACAUCCUGCCCUAUAAAGUAGGGUCUCUUAUGAUCCCCAUUUAUCACUGAGGAAGCCAGGCUCAGGGAAGGCAAGUUGCCCCAGGCACACAGCCCAUGAGGGACAGGCUUGUCAGCUGCACAGGACCCAGGGCGUCCAGCCGGGAGCUGCCCACAGCUACACCGCCCACUCACCACUUUUCUCCCAGCAGCCUUGGCACCAUCGUCAGCUGCUGGGAAUUUUUAGGAAUGGAUUUCUGUGUCGUUUGUAAUAGAUCAGGAAUAUCCCGGCAAGACAGAUUGCCGGAGCCGUUGGGUGGUUUUCUGUGAGCUGAUGAAGUCCUGUCAGUUGGAAAUCAAGGCUCAUCCCUCUUGUGUGUGGAUGAUUCCUUCUCCCAGGAAGGUAGCUCCGGGUAGCAGCUCCUUUGAGGCGGGAGGUGGGGGCGGAGCGCAGCAGUGCAGACCUGCUGACCCAACGGCCUCCUGAAAUAGCCAAACAUCAGGACUGGAGGGGGCAGGCGCCGUCGGGAUUCAGCCAGGAGCAUCCCGUCACCUCUCGCUACUCAACGUGCGGUCCCAGCAUCACCUGGGAGCGGGUUAGAGAGGGCAGAAUCCCAGCCCCCAGCCCAGACCUGCUGUGUCAGAAUCUGCAUCUUUCACAAGAUCCCGGGGGGACUCCUGUGCAAAGAGCGAGUGGCCGGGCUCUGGCGGUAUUCCAGAGCCCACAGAGCCAGCCCCCGGCUUCUUCCUGGAUGCCUGGUUGAUGUGCUCAGUAUUCAAAACUUAAUAAGAGCUGGCAAUUACAGGAAGUGUCUACGUGCCAGGCAACUCCACAAGUGUUUCACUUUUAUUAACUCAUUUAAUCCUCUGAGAUGAGGUAUCAGUGCUAUACCUUUUACAAAGGAAGAAACGGAGGGGCAGAGAAGUGACCUAACUUGCCUGAGGUCACAUGCUAAUACACAGGGGAGCUGGGACACCAAGCCAGGCCCCAGGGUCUUAACCACUACCCCACGCUGCCUGCAGGAAGAUGAGCCCAUCUGAAGCAGAGCUUUCUGACAGGCAUCUCCAGAGUGGCAUUUCCAAGCGCUUACCAAUGCAUCUUGUUUCACCCCCCCGCUGCCUUCUGCCUCCCCAAAGACUGAUCACCUUAGAGAAGCCGCGAGUGCUCAGCACCAGCACCGUUGCUGCUUUCACGGUGUUACUGAGACCAAGAAGCAGCAGCAGCACGUUACAUCUUCAAAACCCUUUAUCAUCCAUCAUCUCCCUUUCUCCUCCCUAGAACCAUGCGAGAUGAGGCCAGGGUUAUUGUCCCUACCAGACGAAUGGCAAAAGGAGGCCAGAGAUGCUGAGUGACUUAGCCAAGGUCACACAGAGACUAGCAGCUGGGCCUCCUGGCUGCCUGAGCACUUUCCUUUCAUCUCCCCAGGCUGCCCCCUUUUCUAGAAGACUCCAUCCCAGUCUCCCCACCCUGAAGGUGGCCCACAGCUCCUCUCAGUACUUGCGCAGCUCUGUGGGGAGACCGGGUCCCUGAUGGAGCCUGAGCCUCUCUCGCAGGCUGCCUCCUGCCUGAAGCAAUUAUAAAUCACGGCAUUUUCCCUUCAUUCAGACCUGAUGUUUAAUUCAUCGCGAUUCUGGCUGCUUUAAUGCAGAACAUUUAUUCAGCAGAAUAGCUUUGUUUUGCCUCCCAAGCUUUCUUCUCUUCAGAGUACCAUUUCCAUUGCAGGCGGGGCUUGCUAUUAGCCAGCUUCCAGGACCCACCCCAUCCCACAAGUGUGGCCCUGCUCUGCCUUCUGUGGGGACCCCAGGGAGUCAGCUUCAGCUCCUGAAGAGGAGUCUAGACUUUUCUGUCCUUGGUCCAGACACCUGACAUUUCCCAUUUGCUCAGCCUCCCUUUCUCCCAGGCCGCAUGCCUGGUGUAAUGAGCGCCUGGCUCCCUGUGCCCACGGCUGGGAAAUUCAGCCUCCUGCCAGGUUGGCCUGCCUCAGGCCCCACAGCCCAGGUGAGGCUGCUCCUGCCCGGGACACAGGAAGCUGGACAUCCUGGGCAGGUGGCACAGCUGUCAUGUCGCACCCUUGGAGCUUCUGC
RNAcentral lists this long non-coding RNA (2832 nucleotides) under Equus caballus (horse). RNAcentral's name for it is "lncRNA (ENSECAG00000044354.1)". The record is from RNAcentral. Lineage: Eukaryota; Metazoa; Chordata; Mammalia; Perissodactyla; Equidae.